UACGUAGGCGGUUUAGUAAGUUAAUUUGUGAAAUCCCCCGGCUUAACCGGGGAAUCGCGGUUAAUACUGCUAAACUCGAGUACAAGAGGGGAGAGUGGAAUUCUGGGUGUAGCGGUGGAAUGCGAAGAUAUCCAGGAGAAGGCCGGUGGCGAAAGCGACUCUCUGGCUUGAUACUGACGCUGAGGUACGAAAGCGUAGGUAGCGAACAGGAUUAGAUACCCUGGUAGUCC
This 230-nucleotide ribosomal RNA is filed under the name uncultured bacterium. RNAcentral describes it as "partial 16S ribosomal RNA". It matches the Rfam family "Bacterial small subunit ribosomal RNA", at positions 568 to 796 of the family's 1533-position model. The record is from RNAcentral.